Molecule: ribosomal RNA, 439 nt
Filed under: Miturga lineata
Lineage: Eukaryota; Metazoa; Arthropoda; Arachnida; Araneae; Miturgidae
Description: partial 16S ribosomal RNA
Source: RNAcentral
UUUCAUUAGAAAUCAUUAAUGAUAUGAUCUGCUCCAUGAAAUUAAAUAGCCGCAUAAUAUGUGCUAAGGUAGCAUAAUAAUUUGUCUUUUAAAUGAAGACCAGAACAAAAGAUUGAACAUUCCAGUUAAUAUCUAUAAUUUUUUAAUUAAAAUUAUUUUAAGUAUAAAAAAAUACUUAUUAAUAAGAAAGACAACAAGACCCUAUUGAACUUUACUAAAGUUAAACUGGGGCAGUUAAUUAAUUAUUAUUUUAAUUUAAUUAAACUAAUAAAUCGAUCCAAUAUAAUUGACCAAUUAAUUUAGUUACCAUAGGGAUAACAGCAUAAUAAAUUUUUAAAGAUCUUAUAAUAAAAAAAGAUUAUGACCUCGAUGUUGAAUAAUAUUCUAAUUAAGCGCAAAAGCUUACAAAGAAAGUCUGUUCGACUUUUAAAAAAUUACA